This is a non-coding RNA of Trachymyrmex cornetzi, 72 nucleotides long. NCBI's taxonomy places the organism in Eukaryota, Metazoa, Arthropoda, Insecta, Hymenoptera, Formicidae. The record is from Rfam.
UCCUCCUGAAAGACAUGGGUAGUGAGAUGUUCUUACGCAAUCGCGUCUCACUAUCUUGUCUUUCAUGCGGCG